AUUGAACGCUGGCGGCAUGCUUUACACAUGCAAGUCGAACGGCAGCGCGGGGGCAACCCUGGCGGCGAGUGGCGAACGGGUGAGUAAUGUAUCGGAACGUAUCCUGUAAUGGGGGAUAACCAGUCGAAAGAUUGGGUAAUACCGCAUACGCACGAGAGUGGAAAGUAGGGGAUCGCAAGACCUUACGUUAUAGGAGCGGCCGAUAUCUGAUUAGCUAGUUGGUGAGGUAAAGGCUCACCAAGGCGACGAUGGGUAGCCGGCCUGAGAGGGUGAACGGCCACACUGGGACUGAGACACGGCCCAGACUCCUACGGGAGGCAGCAGUGGGGAAUAUUGGACAAUGGGCGAAAGCCUGAUCCAGCAAUGCCGCGUGAGUGAUGAAGGCCUUAGGGUUGUAAAGCUCCUUUACCAGGGAUGAUAAUGACAGUACCUGGAGAAUAAGCUCCGGCUAACUCCGUG
This 459-nucleotide ribosomal RNA is filed under the name uncultured bacterium. Its description in RNAcentral is "bacterial SSU rRNA". It matches the Rfam family "Bacterial small subunit ribosomal RNA", at positions 30 to 507 of the family's 1533-position model. The record is from RNAcentral.